Molecule: transfer RNA, 152 nt
Filed under: Penicillium griseofulvum
Lineage: Eukaryota; Fungi; Ascomycota; Eurotiomycetes; Eurotiales; Aspergillaceae
Rfam family: tRNA
About the family: Transfer RNA (tRNA) molecules are approximately 80 nucleotides in length.
Source: Rfam by way of RNAcentral
GUCAGUAUGGCCGAGUGGUUAAGGCGCAGCACUGUGAGUAACCCUUAACACAGCCUCUACUUGACUCCAUAACUAAUAAUCCCCGCAGCGAAUAAUUACAUUCCUGAUAUGCUGUUCAUUCGUGAACCUAGGUUCGAGUCCUAGUGCUGACG